CCCUGGUUGCUCAGAUGGUAAAGAAUCUGCCUGCCGUGCUGAAGACCCAGGUUUGAUCCCUGGAUCAGGAA
Molecule: transfer RNA, 71 nt
Filed under: Bos taurus (domestic cattle)
Lineage: Eukaryota; Metazoa; Chordata; Mammalia; Artiodactyla; Bovidae
Also listed under: 5 other names
Rfam family: tRNA
About the family: Transfer RNA (tRNA) molecules are approximately 80 nucleotides in length. Their secondary structure includes four short double-helical elements and three loops (D, anti-codon, and T loops).
Source: Rfam by way of RNAcentral